GAUGAACGCUGGCGGCGUGCCUAAUACAUGCAAGUCGAGCGAACGGACGAGAAGCUUGCUUUUCUGAUGUUAGCGGCGGACGGGUGAGUAACACGUGGAUAACCUACCUAUAAGACUGGGAUAACUUCGGGAAACCGGAGCUAAUACCGGAUAAUAUUUUGAACCGCAUGGUUCAAAAGUGAAAGACGGUCUUGCUGUCACUUAUAGAUGGAUCCGCGCUGCAUUAGCUAGUUGGUAAGGUAACGGCUUACCAAGGCAACGAUGCAUAGCCGACCUGAGAGGGUGAUCGGCCACACCUGAACUGGGGCACGGUCCAGACCCCUACGGGAGGCAGCAGUAGGGAAUCUUCCGCAAUGGGCGAAAGCCUGACGGAGCAACGCCGCGUGAGUGAUGAAGGUCUUCGGAUCGUAAAACUCUGUUAUUAGGGAAGAACAUAUGUGUAAGUAACUGUGCACAUCUUGACGGUACCUAAUCAGAAAGCCACGGCUAACUACGUG
RNAcentral lists this ribosomal RNA (497 nucleotides) under uncultured bacterium. Its description in RNAcentral is "partial 16S ribosomal RNA". It matches the Rfam family "Bacterial small subunit ribosomal RNA", at positions 28 to 507 of the family's 1533-position model. The record is from RNAcentral.